This 73-nucleotide transfer RNA is filed under the name Lysobacterales bacterium. Its description in RNAcentral is "tRNA-Met". It matches the Rfam family "tRNA". From Rfam's summary of the family: Transfer RNA (tRNA) molecules are approximately 80 nucleotides in length. Their secondary structure includes four short double-helical elements and three loops (D, anti-codon, and T loops). Lineage: Bacteria; Pseudomonadati; Pseudomonadota; Gammaproteobacteria; Lysobacterales. The record is from RNAcentral.
UGCAGGGUAGAGGAACGUGUACCUCGCCGGGCCCAUAACCCGGAGUUAGCGGGUUCGACUCCCGCCCCUGCUA